UGUGCUAAGGUAGCAUAAUCACUAGCCUUUUAAUUGAAGGCUUGUAUGAAAGGUAAAACAUUUUAAUUUCUUUUUUAUUUAAAUUUUUUAAAAUUAUAUUAAAUAUAAAAAUAUAUUUAUUCAAUAAAUAGACGACAAGACCCUAUUGAACUUAACUGAAGUUUAGCUGGGGCAGCUAAUUAAUAAAUAUUUUAAUACAAAAUUAUUUAAUAAAUGACCAAAUUAUACUUGAUUACAUGAAUUAAGUUACCAUAGGGAUAACAGCGUAAUUUUUUUUUAAAGUUCAUAUUAAAAAAAAAGAUUGCGACCUCGAUGUUGAAUUAAUGUAACAAAUAAUACGCAAUAGUAUAUAUUGUAGGUCUGUUCGACCUUUAAAACAUUACAUGAUYUGAGUUCAAAUCGGCGUAAGCCAGAUUGGUUUCUAUCUUUUUUUAAUUAUUUGCUCAGUACGAAAGGACCAACAAAUUUAUUAUCAAU
This 477-nucleotide ribosomal RNA is filed under the name Trichonephila sumptuosa. RNAcentral describes it as "Nephila sumptuosa partial 16S ribosomal RNA". It matches the Rfam family "Bacterial large subunit ribosomal RNA", at positions 1947 to 2710 of the family's 2925-position model. The record is from RNAcentral. Lineage: Eukaryota; Metazoa; Arthropoda; Arachnida; Araneae; Nephilidae.